UACGAGGGGGGCAAGCGUUGUUCGGAAUUAUUGGGCGUAAAGGGCGCGUAGGCGGUGCGGUAAGUCACCUGUGAAAACUCUGGGCUCAACUCAGAGCCUGCAGGCGAAACUGCCGUGCUUGAGUGUGGGAGAGGUGCGUGGAAUUCCCGGUGUAGCGGUGAAAUGCGUAGAUAUCGGGAGGAAUACCUGUGGCGAAAGCGGCGCACUGGACCACAACUGACGCUGAGGCGCGAAAGCCAGGGGAGCAAACGGG
This 253-nucleotide ribosomal RNA is filed under the name uncultured prokaryote. RNAcentral's name for it is "partial 16S ribosomal RNA". It matches the Rfam family "Bacterial small subunit ribosomal RNA", at positions 524 to 776 of the family's 1533-position model. The record is from RNAcentral.